This 268-nucleotide long non-coding RNA is filed under the name Ictidomys tridecemlineatus (thirteen-lined ground squirrel). RNAcentral describes it as "lncRNA (ENSSTOG00000032171.1)". Lineage: Eukaryota; Metazoa; Chordata; Mammalia; Rodentia; Sciuridae. The record is from RNAcentral.
GUCACCUCCCUUGAUGGAUAUGCUGAAUGAGAAAAGGAUCACGUGCUUCCUGGUGUAGACAGGAACCCCAGGCCCACACUUGCCAUCUCUGCCAUCUUGAGGACCUUGGAGACACGACUGAAAACAGCUGUCUGCACAAGUUCCCUAGCUAGAAGCCCGGAGGGGGAGAUGGGGAAGGAACAUCUUUCACAGAGCCCUCCAUAAUCUGCAUGUAAGUAACAUGGCCCAGGCAAGUGGUCCUCAAAGUAACAGCCUCUGUUGUUUUGCC